CCUACGGGUGGCAGCAGUGAGGAAUAUUGGUCAAUGGACGAGAGUCUGAACCAGCCAAGUAGCGUGAAGGAUGACUGCCCUAUGGGUUGUAAACUUCUUUUAUAUGGGAAUAAAAUGUUCCACGUGUGGGAUUUUGUAUGUACCAUAUGAAUAAGGAUCGGCUAACUCCGUGCCAGCAGCCGCGGUAAUACGGAGGAUCCGAGCGUUAUCCGGAUUUAUUGGGUUUAAAGGGAGAGUAGGUGGAUUGUUAAGUCAGUUGUGAAAGUUUGCGGCUCAACCGUAAAAUUGCAGUUGAAACUGGCAGUCUUGAGUACAGUAGAGGUGGGCGGAAUUCGUGGUGUAGCGGUGAAAUGCUUAGAUAUCACGAAGAACUCCGAUUGCGAAGGCAGUUCACUGGACUGCAACUGACACUGAGGCUCGAAAGUGUGGGUAUCAAACAGGAUUAGAUACCCUUGUAGUC
This 460-nucleotide ribosomal RNA is filed under the name uncultured bacterium. RNAcentral's name for it is "partial 16S ribosomal RNA". It matches the Rfam family "Bacterial small subunit ribosomal RNA", at positions 338 to 795 of the family's 1533-position model. The record is from RNAcentral.